AAUCAACGCUGGCGGCGUGCCUCAGACAUGCAAGUCGAACGAUUAAAGCUCUCUUCGGAGAGUGUAUAGAGUGGCGCACGGGUGAGUAACACGUAAGUAAUCUACCCUCGAGUGGGGAAUAACGUCCGGAAACGGACGCUAAUACCGCAUAAUGCAGCGGCACCGCAAGGUGACAGUUGUUAAAGAUUUAUCGCUUGAGGAGGAGCUUGCGGCAGAUUAGCUAGUUGGUAAGGUAAUGGCUUACCAAGGCUACGAUCUGUAACCGGUCUAAGAGGACGGUCGGUCAC
Molecule: ribosomal RNA, 287 nt
Filed under: uncultured bacterium
Lineage: Bacteria
Description: partial 16S ribosomal RNA
Rfam family: Bacterial small subunit ribosomal RNA
Source: RNAcentral